Cyprinus carpio carpio is the source of this 5839-nucleotide long non-coding RNA. The record is from Ensembl. Lineage: Eukaryota; Metazoa; Chordata; Actinopteri; Cypriniformes; Cyprinidae.
GGUGAAAAGCGCAGCAGGAAUGUAAUUAUAAGCUGUAGUUUUGUUACAAGAAUGCUGCUCCUCCCUUUUGCCAUAAUAAUGUAUGUUGAUUUUGCUUUCAUGUUUGAUUGUGCAAAUGACGAAGUCUGAAGUAAAAAAAGAAUUAAAGUUAAAACCAGUGUUUCCAACCCUCCCGGUCCCGCCCUAAGUUAUUAAAGUCAGAGAAGCUCUAACACCUCCAUCAUUUAUCCUAAACUCCUAGAACAUCUCACACACAGGUAACAAAAACUGCACGAUUAACAGAUACAUAAGCACAUAAAGAUCACGGAUGAGGAGUAAAUGGAUUUAUGUGGCUAUCCUGGGGAUAGCAUGCAUGAUGCUUGGAGUCAAUGGGAGCAAUACAACAAGCAGUAGCAACUCUACAGACAGCUGGAUAUCUUCUAACAUGACCACCAGCCUGACCCAGACGCUACCAACCAACAUGACCACCAACCUGACCCAGACACUACCACCCAACAUUACCACCAACCUGACCCAGACGAACCCACCCAGCAUGACCACCAACCUAAACCAGGUCGGUCCCUUCAACAUAACUUCAAACUUAACUCAAACAGGACCUCCCAACAUAAACCUUAACCUUACCCAGAUGGGUCCUCUCAACAUGACCACCAGCCUUACCCAGACUGGCCCUCUUAAUAUGACUACAAACCCAUCCCUGAUGGGCCCUCUCAACAUGACCACAAACCCCGACCAGUUAAGCCCUUUUAACAUGACCACAAACCCAACCCAGAUUGGCCCUCUUAAUAUGACUACAAACCUAUCCCAGAUGGGCCCUCUCAACAUGACCACAAACCCGAACCAGAUGAGCCCUUUUAAUAUGACCACAAACCCAACCCAGAUGGGCCCUUUCAACAUGACCGCUAACCUGACACAAACACACCCUUCCAACAUAACCACCAACCUGCCCCAAACACAAACUCCCAACAUAACCACCAACCUGACCCAGACAAACCCUCCCAACACAACCACCAACCUGACCCAGACACACCCUCCUAACAUAACCGCCAACCUGCCUCAAACACACCCUCCUAACACAACCACCAACCUGACCCAAACACACCCUCCCAACAUAAGCGCUAACCUGACCCAAACACACCCUCCCAACAUAACCGCUAUCCUGCCCCAAACAUACCCUCCCAACAUAACCACCAACCUGACCCAGACAAACCCUCCAAACAUAACCACCAACCUGACCCAGACACACCCUCCCAACAUAACCGCCAACCUGACCCAGACACACCCUCCCAACAUAACCGCAACCUGACCCAGACAAACCCUCCAAACAUAACCGCUAACCUGACCCAGACAAACCCUCCAAACAUAACCGCUAACCUGACCCAGACAAGGCCUCCCAAUAUUACCACAAACCCGAUCCAGACAGGCCCCCUCACCAUAACAAAUAUUAUAACAACAUCAGGCUCUAAUACUCUGUCACCAGACAUCACUGGCAGGGAUAACUGCAAGAGGGAUAGGGCAUGUUUCUCCGCUCCACCUUCCUGUAAUCCAGGUGCAGAAGGUUCCUGCUAUUUUCUUUCCACAAGAGGAGUAAGCGGAAAUGCAGAUAAUUUUACUUUUGAGCUGAGUGGCGAGACAGAUGGUUACAUUGGAGCUGGCCUCUCUCGAGACAGCAGUGGUCAAGGUGCCACCGUCUAUUCUUGUGCCAAAUUCAAUGGUGCACUGAGGUUAAUUCGUUCCACACUGAACAAUCAAAUAUUGAUGCAGGAUAAUACAUUUAUCCCUGGAAGCUUCCAAGGCUCAGUCAUUGGUAGAAAGAUUCAAUGCAUUUUCAAUGCUGCAGGUCUCAGCAGCACCACCCGUUCUGCAACCACAGACACUUUUGUCUUCCUUGUAACAGGCAGCAUAUUAAAUGGUUCUCUGGAUUAUCCAGUCAGUAGACUGACCACAAAUGGGGCAGUGGACUUAAGCAACCCCAACAGCACAGACGUUUCAGUAAUAACACCCAGUACAAAUGCCACUGCAUCUAAUACCACAGCAACAUCAACCACCACUGCAGCAUCUACAAACUUGACCCAGACGAUACUUCCCAACAUAACCGUCAACCUGACCCAGACAAACCCUACCAACAUAACCGCCAACCUGACCCAGACAAACCCUCCCAACAUAACCGCCAACCUGACCCAGACACACCCUCCCAACAUAACCGCCAACCUGACCCAGACAAACCCUCCCAACAUAACCGUCAACCUGACCCAGGCAAACCCUCCCAACAUAACCGCCAACCUGACCCAGACAAACCCUCCCAACAUAACCUCUAACCUGACCCAGACAAGGCCUCCCAAUAUUACCACAAACCCGACCCAGACAGGCCCCCUCACCAUAUCAAAUAUUAUAACAACAUCAGGCUCUAAUACUCUGUCACCAGACAUCACUGGCAGGGAUAACUGCAGGAGGGAUAGGGCAUGUUUCUCCGCUCCACCUUCCUGUAAUCCAGGUGCAGAAGGUUCCUGCUAUUUUCUUUCCACAAGAGGAGUAAGCGGAAAUGCAGAUAAUUUUACUUUUGAGCUGAGUGGCGAGACAGAUGGUUACAUUGGAGCUGGCCUCUCUCGAGACAGCAGUGGUCAAGGUGCCACCGUCUAUUCUUGUGCCAAAUUCAAUGGUGCACUGAGGUUAAUUCGUUCCACACUAAACAAUCAAAUAUUGAUGCAGGAUAAUACGUUUAUCCCUGGAAGCUUCCGAGGCUCAGUCAUUGGUAGAAAGAUUCAAUGCAUUUUCAAUGCUGCAGGUCUCAGCAGCACCACCCGUUCUGCAACCACAGACACUUUUGUCUUCCUUUUAACAGGCAGCAUAUCAAAUGGUUCUCUGGAUUCUCCAGUCAGUAGACUGACCACAAAUGGGUCAGUGGACUUAAGCAACCCCAACAGCACAGACGUUUCAGUAAUAACACCCAGUACAAAUGCCACUGCAUCUAAUACCACAGCAACAUCAACCACCACUGCAGCAUCUACAAACUUGACCCAGACGGUAUUUCCCAACAUAACCGCCAACCUGACCCAGACAAACCCUCCCAACAUUACCGCCAACCUGACCCAGACACACCCUCCCAACAUAACCGCCAACCUGACCCAGACACACCCUCCCAACAUAACCGCCAACCUGUCCCAGACAAACCCUCCCAACAUAACCGCCAACCUGACCCAGACAAACCCUCCCAACAUAACCGCCAACCUGACCCAGACAAACCCUCCCAACAUAACCGCCAACCUGACCCAGACAAACCCUCCCAACAUAACCGCCAACCUGACCCAGACAAACCCUCCCAACAUAACCGUCAACCUGACCCAGACACACCCUCCCAACAUAACCGCCAACCUGACCCAGACACACCCUCCCAACAUAACCGCCAACCUGACCCAGACACACCCUCCCAACAUAACCGCCAACCUGACCCAGACAAACCCUCCCAACAUAACCGCCAACCUGACCCAGACAAACCCUCCCAACAUAACCGCCAACCAGACUCAAACACGCCCUUCCACCGUGAUUGCUAACCUGACUGCGACACCAUCAGGCUCUAAUACCUUGAACAACAGCAACGUCAAUAAUCUAUCACUAGAUAUCACUGGCAGGGAUAACUGCAGGAGGGAUAGAGCAUGUUUCUCUGCUCCACCUACUUGUAAUCCAGGUGCACAAGAUUCCUGUUAUUUCCUAUCUGCAAAAGGAGUAAGCGGAAGUGCAGAUAAUUUUACCUUUGAACUCAGUGGCGAGUCAGAUGGUUACAUUGGAGCUGGCCUCUCUCGAGACAACAGUGGUCAAGGAGCCACUGUCUAUUCUUGCGCCAACAUCAAUGGUGCACUGAAGUUCUUCCGUUCCACACUGAACAAUCAAAGACUGGCUCAGGAUAACACUUUCAUCCCUGGAAGUUUCCGUGGUUCGGUGAAUAGAGGAAAGAUUCAGUGCAUUUUCAAUGCUGCAGGUCUCGGCAGCAUCACUCGUGCGGCAACCACAGACACUUAUGUCUUCUUUUUAACAGGCAGUGUCUCAAAUGGCUCUCUGGAUUCUCCAGUCACUAGACUGACUACAAAUGGGUCAGUGGACUUAAGCAACCCUAACAGCACAGAUGUUUCAGUAAUAACACCCAGUACAAAUGCCACCACAACAGCCCCGAACAUCACCACAUCUAGUUCCUCUUUAGCAUUAAACACCACUACAGCCCCGAACACCACCGCAUCUAAUUCCACUGCAUCCUCAAAUACUACUGCAUCAUCAAAUGCCACUGCAUCUAAUGCCUCUGGAUUAUCUACAGCUAAUAAUGUUACAACAAAUGAUAAGGUCACCAAGGACAACUGUAAAAAGGACAGGGCAUGUUUCUCCACUCCAGCCAACUGUGAUCCAUCAAGCUCAAGUAGCUGCAUUUUUGCCUCCACAAGAGUGGUGAACGGAAACUUAGACAAUCUCACUUUUGAGCUCAGUGGGGAUUCAAAUGGUUACAUCGCAGUUGGCCUGUCUCGAGACAAGAAGGAGGGUGAUGAUGACACUGUCUACUCUUGUGCCAAUGACAAUGGUGUGGCGAAGUUCAUUCGUGCCACUCUGAACAACAACAUUCUGACUCCAGAUAAGACUUUUAACCCUGGAUCCUUCCGUGGCUCUGUGAACGGCACAAGGAUUCAGUGCAUUUUUGUAGCUGCAGGUCUCAGCAGCAACGCCCGUGCGGCAAACACAAAUGCUUUCCUCUAUUUCUUCACUGGCAACUUUACAAAUGGCACUUUAGGGUCUCCAGUCACACGAAUGUUUACAAAUUCAUUGGUUGAUCUAACCAACACUAGCAGCUCAGACGUUGCCAUAAUAACACCCACUACAAGCACAGAUAAUACUACCACUAUUACGACUACUACAGCAAAACCUGCUACUACAGCAGGGAGCAAUGCACUGCAUCAUGCUGCAUCUCAGGCUGCUCUGGUAAUUCUCUCAGGGAUCCUUGCAGUGCUCCUGUUGUAAGGAUUCUGCCAACACAUUUGCUUUCUGAAACUGGUCGAUGAGCACUGAACGCUUGAUGAACCCAACACCAAAGUAUAUGUAAUUCAGCAUAUUUAUAACUGUGCAAUAAUGCGACUCUGGGAACAAUGAAGAAAGAAGCAGAAAAUAUGGGGAAGAGGGCAUUACAUUAUUUAUUUAAUCUUAGUGUUUGUGUGUGAGAGAUUGUGUUUAUGAAUGUUUUUGCGAGCGUUAGUGUUUGUAUUCUGCUAAUGUACUGCUAUUUAAAAUCAGGCUCCUGCACAGAGAGGGCUGAUGAAAAUUAAAAUCAGUAUAUUAAUAUAAUUGUGCAAGUGUGAGCCAUCAUGUGGCUAAAAUGAUCUAAGAUAAUUGUUUUCAAAUGUCUUAAUUUAUUGUUACUGUUGCCUCAAACCAUUGAUUUCCUGUAAGUUAUAAAUAUAGUCUUUUUUUUUUAAUAUGCAUAAUAAAAUGUUCAAGUAAAAAAAAUGAAACUGGUAGAUCAGUGUUUGGACUAAAGGUUAAAGUGGCAAAGAACAAACUAAAUGCAAACAGCAUGCAUAGUCAGGAUAGUAAAUUAGUGAAACACUUCCCAUAUUGUUGAUCAAAGUCUGCACAUGCAAUCAAGCACUACGGUUUUUCACAAGACAUUUGUGACACUUGGUAGAAGUCGAAUUAGACGCAACAUGGACAGGUUAUGUAGCAUUCUCAUGCACAAAAACUAUGAACAAAACCACCCACCAAUCAAACGUGUUUAUUUUUAAAUAAUUAAUCAUCUUAGUACUGUGUUGGGUCACCAAAUUGUGGACAGAUAAAGUGCUUAAUAUUCAAAUCACUUCAAAGGCAAUGC